This 301-nucleotide ribosomal RNA is filed under the name uncultured bacterium. Its description in RNAcentral is "partial 16S ribosomal RNA". It matches the Rfam family "Bacterial small subunit ribosomal RNA", at positions 509 to 807 of the family's 1533-position model. The record is from RNAcentral.
CAGCAGCCGCGGGAAUACGAGGGGGGCAAGCGUUGUUCGGAAUUAUUGGGCGUAAAGGGUGCGUAGGCGGCCCCGCAAGUCUCAUGUGAAAUCUUCAGGCUCAACUUGAAGUCUGCAUGGGAAACUGCGGGGCUGGAGUAUGGGAGAGGUGAGUGGAAUUCCUGGUGUAGCGGUGAAAUGCGUAGAUAUCAGGAGGAACACCUGUGGCGAAAGCGGCUCACUGGACCAUAACUGACGCUGAUGCACGAAAGCUAGGGGAGCAAACAGGAUUAGAUACCCCCGUAGUCCCUGUCUCUUAUAC